RNAcentral lists this transfer RNA (76 nucleotides) under Candidatus Nealsonbacteria bacterium CG02_land_8_20_14_3_00_37_10. Its description in RNAcentral is "tRNA-Arg". It matches the Rfam family "tRNA". Rfam says of the family: Transfer RNA (tRNA) molecules are approximately 80 nucleotides in length. The record is from RNAcentral. RNAcentral also lists the same sequence under 1 other name. Lineage: Bacteria; Candidatus Nealsoniibacteriota.
GCGCCUGUAGCUCAACGGAUCGAGCAUCUGGCUGCGGACCAGAAGGUUGUAGGUUCAAUUCCUGCCAGGCGCACAA